This 490-nucleotide ribosomal RNA is filed under the name uncultured bacterium. RNAcentral describes it as "partial 16S ribosomal RNA". It matches the Rfam family "Bacterial small subunit ribosomal RNA", at positions 30 to 507 of the family's 1533-position model. The record is from RNAcentral.
AUUGAACGCUGGCGGCAGGCCUAACACAUGCAAGUCGAACGGUAACAGGAAGAAGCUUGCUUCUUUGCUGACGAGUGGCGGACGGGUGAGUCAUGUCUGGGAAACUGCCUGAUGGAGGGGGAUAACUACUGGAAACGGUAGCUAAUACCGCAUAACGUCGCAAGACCAAAGAGGGGGACCUUCGGGCCUCUUGCCAUCGGAUGUGCCCAGAUGGGAUUAGCUAGUAGGUGGGGUAACGGCUCACCUAGGCGACGAUCCCUAGCUGGUCUGAGAGGAUGACCAGCCACACUGGAACUGAGACACGGUCCAGACUCCUACGGGAGGCAGCAGUGGGGAAUAUUGCACAAUGGGCGCAAGCCUGAUGCAGCCAUGCCGCGUGUAUGAAGAAGGCCUUCGGGUUGUAAAGUACUUUCAGCGGGGAGGAAGGGAGUAAAGUUAAUACCUUUGCUCAUUGACGUUACCCGCAGAAGAAGCACCGGCUAACUCCGUG